Molecule: non-coding RNA, 30 nt
Filed under: Mus musculus (house mouse)
Lineage: Eukaryota; Metazoa; Chordata; Mammalia; Rodentia; Muridae
Source: RNAcentral
AGUCAAAAUAAAAACUAAUGUUACUUUGCA